Molecule: long non-coding RNA, 619 nt
Organism: Rhipicephalus microplus (southern cattle tick)
Lineage: Eukaryota; Metazoa; Arthropoda; Arachnida; Ixodida; Ixodidae
Source: RefSeq, a predicted model, not a curated record
AGGUGACGAGCCAAGCCCAGUCCCGCCUGUGGACGCAGGCAAUGCAGACAGCUUGGGUACUCCUUGCACAGGACCAUAAGGAGAAGGAGAAACAAGGCUUUUAUUGGCACUCUAUGUCCAGUAUGCUAGCAAGGUUGGCCCAAUGAAGAAAUUUCGGGGCAAGCGGGUAAUGUAUGAACACAUUUCGAAAGAAAUACUGCAAAUACUUGGAAUCUUCAGAACCGCUACAGUGCCAGCAAGCUUCAAGACCAUAGCGAAACGAAAGAAAACUGAAGAUACAAACAACAAGACAUCCAGCCAUACUCACUACCCAGUGUCGUACGAAGAAGAGUUUGCCCCAAAUAAGGGCUGCAGACGAUAGCAUUGAACCUGAAGUUCUUCCUAGUGUGCAUUCUGUGACCUACAAGAGUGUUGUACCUAAGCCAGUGGAUGAAGCCAGCGCAUCUACUAGUGCAACUGUGGCCUCUAAAAGUACCAAGCACAGUACCUCUGAAUUUCUUGAUAACUCCACUUGUAAGACGACAGGCCAUGAACGAAGAAAGAGAAAGAAAAGCAAUGAAAUUGGUAGCCUCAGUGGUGGUGGCCGAAUGAGGCAUAUGGAGUACUUCUUUCAAAAGAA